GGGUUGUGAGGUUAAGCGAAUAAGCGUACACGGUGGAUGCCUAGGCAAUCAGAGGCGAUGAAGGACGUGCUAAUCUGCGAAAAGCGUCGGUAAGGUGAUAUGAACCGUUAUACCCGACGAUAUCCGAAUGGGGAAACCCAGUAUCCAAUGGAUACUAUCAUUAACUGAAUCCAUAGGUUAAUGAGGCGAACCGGGAGAACUGAAACAUCUCAGUACCCCGAGGAAAAGAAAUCAACCGAGAUUCCCCUAGUAGCGGCGAGCGAACGGGGAGCAGCCCAGAGUCUUAAUCAAUAGCAGUGUCAGGAGAACGGUCUGGAAAGUCCGGCAGUAAAGGGUGAUAGCCCCGUAUCUGAAGAUGCUGUUAUUGUGAACUCGACGAGUAGGGCGGGACACGUGUUAUCCUGUCUGAAUAUGGGGGGACCAUCCUCCAAGGCUAAAUACUCCUGAUUGACCGAUAGUGAACCAGUACCGUGAGGGAAAGGCGAAAAGAACCCCGGCGAGGGGAGUGAAAAAGAACCUGAAACCGUGUACGUACAAGCAGUAGGAGCCUCUUUAUGGGGUGACUGCGUACCUUUUGUAUAAUGGGUCAGCGACUUAUAUUCUGUAGCAAGGUUAACCGUAUAGGGGAGCCGUAGGGAAACCGAGUCUUAACUGGGCGAAUGAGUUGCAGGGUAUAGACCCGAAACCCGGUGAUCUAUCCAUGGGCAGGUUGAAGGUUGGGUAACACUAACUGGAGGACCGAACCGACUAAUGUUGAAAAAUUAGCGGAUGACUUGUGGAUGGGGGUGAAAGGCCAAUCAAACCGGGAGAUAGCUGGUUCUCCCCGAAAGCUAUUUAGGUAGCGCCUCGUGAACUCAUCUUCGGGGGUAGAGCACUGUUUCGACUAGGGGGUCAUCCCGACUUACCAACUCGAUGCAAACUGCGAAUACCGAAGAAUGUUAUCACGGGAGACACACGGCGGGUGCUAACGUCCGUCGUGAAGAGGGAAACAACCCAGACCGCCAGCUAAGGUCCCAAAGUCAUGGUUAAGUGGGAAACGAAGUGGGAAGGCUCAGACAGCCAGGAUGUUGGCUUAGAAGCAGCCAUCAUUUAAAGAAAGCGUAAUAGCUCACUGGUCGAGUCGGCCCGCGCGGAAGAUGUAACGGGGCUAAACCAUGCACCGAAGCUGCGGCAGCGACACAAAGUGUUGUUGGGUAGGGGAGCGUUCUGUAAGCCUGCGAAGGUGUACUGUGAGGUAUGCUGGAGGUAUCAGAAGUGCGAAUGCUGACAUAAGUAACGAUAAUGCGGGUGAAAAACCCGCACGCCGGAAGACCAAGGGUUCCUGUCCAACGUUAAUCGGGGCAGGGUGAGUCGACCCCUAAGGCGAGGCUGAAAAGCGUAGUCGAUGGGAAACGGGUUAAUAUUCCCGUACUGGUGGUAACUGCGAUGGGGGAACGGAGAAGGCUAGGUUGUCCGGGCGACGGUCGUCCCGGUUCAAGCAGGUAGGCAGAGUGAUUAGGCAAAUCCGGUCACUUAAUGCUGAGAUGUGAUGACGAACCACCAAGGUGGUGAAGCAAUUGAUGCCCCGCUUCCAGGAAAAGCCUCUAAGCUUCAGGUUACCAACAAUCGUACCCCAAACCGACACAGGUGGUCAGGUAGAGAAUACUCAGGCGCUUGAGAGAACUCGGGUGAAGGAACUAGGCAAAAUGGUGCCGUAACUUCGGGAGAAGGCACGCUGGCGGUAGGUAAAGUCCCUCGCGGACGGCGCUGAAGCCAGUCGAAGAUACCAGCUGGCUGCAACUGUUUAUUAAAAACACAGCACUGUGCAAACACGAAAGUGGACGUAUACGGUGUGACGCCUGCCCGGUGCUGGAAGGUUAAUUGAUGGGGUUAGCCGUAAGGCGAAGCUCCUGAUCGAAGCCCCAGUAAACGGCGGCCGUAACUAUAACGGUCCUAAGGUAGCGAAAUUCCUUGUCGGGUAAGUUCCGACCUGCACGAAUGGCGUAAUGAUGGCCAGGCUGUCUCCACCCGAGACUCAGUGAAAUUGAACUCGCUGUGAAGAUGCAGUGUACCCGCGGCAAGACGGAAAGACCCCGUGAACCUUUACUAUAGCUUGACACUGAACAUUGAGCCUUGAUGUGUAGGAUAGGUGGGAGGCUUUGAAGUGUGGACGCCAGUCUGCAUGGAGCCAACCUUGAAAUACCACCCUUUAACGUUUGAUGUUCUAACCUAGGCCCAUAAACUGGGUCGGGGACCGUGUCUGGUGGGUAGUUUGACUGGGGCGGUCUCCUCCUAAAGAGUAACGGAGGAGCACGAAGGUUGGCUAAGCAUGGUCGGACAUCAUGCGGUUAGUGCAAAGGCAUAAGCCAGCUUGACUGCGAGAGUGACGGCUCGAGCAGGUACGAAAGUAGGUCUUAGUGAUCCGGUGGUUCUGAAUGGAAGGGCCAUCGCUCAACGGAUAAAAGGUACUCCGGGGAUAACAGGCUGAUACCGCCCAAGAGUUCAUAUCGACGGCGGUGUUUGGCACCUCGAUGUCGGCUCAUCACAUCCUGGGGCUGAAGUAGGUCCCAAGGGUAUGGCUGUUCGCCAUUUAAAGUGGUACGCGAGCUGGGUUUAGAACGUCGUGAGACAGUUCGGUCCCUAUCUGCCGUGGGCGUUGGAAGAUUGAGAGGGGUUGCUCCUAGUACGAGAGGACCGGAGUGAACGCACCACUGGUGUUCGGGUUGUCAUGCCAAUGGCAUUGCCCGGUAGCUAAGUGCGGAAGAGAUAACCGCUGAAAGCAUCUAAGCGGGAAACUUGCCUCGAGAUGAGUCUUCCCUGUCGCUUUAAGCGACCUAAAGGAACGUUUAAGACUAAGACGUUGAUAGGCUGGGUGUGUAAGCGUAGCGAUACGUUGAGCUAACCAGUACUAAUGAACCGUGAGGCUUAACCUGACAACACCGAAAGUGUUUUG
This 2932-nucleotide ribosomal RNA is filed under the name Proteus mirabilis. RNAcentral's name for it is "bacterial LSU rRNA". It matches the Rfam family "Bacterial large subunit ribosomal RNA". The record is from RNAcentral. Lineage: Bacteria; Pseudomonadati; Pseudomonadota; Gammaproteobacteria; Enterobacterales; Morganellaceae.